GACGAACCGUGCGAGCGUUAAUCGGAAUUACUGGGCGUAAAGGGCGCGUAGGUGGUUUAUUAAGAUUGAUGUGAAAUCCCUGGGCUUAACCUAGGAACUGCAUCGAUGACUGAGAAACUAGAGUACUGUAGAGGGUAGUGGAAUUUCCGGUGUAGUGGUGAAAUGCGUAGAGAUCGGAAGGAACACCAGUGGCGAAGGCGGCUACCUGGACAGAUACUGACACUGAGGCGCGAGAGCGUGGGGAGCAAACAGG
RNAcentral lists this ribosomal RNA (253 nucleotides) under uncultured bacterium. RNAcentral describes it as "partial 16S ribosomal RNA". It matches the Rfam family "Bacterial small subunit ribosomal RNA", at positions 524 to 776 of the family's 1533-position model. The record is from RNAcentral.